Pelobates cultripes (western spadefoot toad) is the source of this 521-nucleotide non-coding RNA. The record is from the annotation of a GenBank genome assembly. Lineage: Eukaryota; Metazoa; Chordata; Amphibia; Anura; Pelobatidae.
UAUUAGGAAUAAUACAUAAGACAAAGUAGCCCCUUACUUUGUCUUGUGUUUUUCAUUAGAAAUAGCAGGAAAAUUAAACAAAAAACAAAAAAACAGUAGGGAAUAUGUUGAGAAAAGUUAGGUAUUGUGUGGCCGUGCCACUUUAAGUUGUCAGUUCCUCCAGUUGUCGCUACAUGUUGUACAUGCAUGAAAAUACAGCAAUGACAUCACUCCACUUGGGACCGCUUCAGGCAAGUAUAAUUGCCCUCCACUCUACUCCCAGGCCUUAGUGAGCCUGAGUGACCCCCAAGUAAACAUAGCCACUUUAAAAUGAUGCAUAAUCACUUUGCUGCUGCCAACAAAGCUAUAUAAUCUACUUCACCAUAUGCCCAAUUUUCAACUAUAUUACACUGCAUGCUAACCUGUCAAAACGCCUUGAUCUGUGCUGAAAUGCAAUGCAGAAAAAAAAAAAAAAAAAUUUUGACAAAGUGACUGUCACCUCAGACUUAACUUUCUCCUAUUGUUUCCUUUCUGAAUGUUUC